Ostrea edulis (European flat oyster) is the source of this 3881-nucleotide RNA transcript. It is a transcript of the gene named slit homolog 3 protein-like, with no coding region annotated. Lineage: Eukaryota; Metazoa; Mollusca; Bivalvia; Ostreida; Ostreidae. The transcript is spliced from 12 exons. The record is from RefSeq and is a predicted model, not a curated record.
UUAUAGCGAUGCGGCUGACGUUCUGGGUGUCUGUCGUACUCUCUGUGCUAUACAGCCAUGGGACGGACGCCUGUCCUGACAAGUGUAGAUGUAGCAAGUCGUCUUUCUGUAAUGGGACUAAUGUAAAUUGUUAUGAUAGAGGACUGAGCGGAGUACCGACCAACAUCCCCACGGACAUUUGUGAUCUAUACCUGAGCGGCAAUAAGAUAGCAACGUUACAAACUGGAAACUUUGAUAAGUUGACAAAUCUGCAUACACUAAGUCUGUGGGGGAAUGAUAUAGCCAUCUUACCGAAUGGGAUUUUUGAUGUAUUGACGAAUUUACAAUUCCUACACUUGUGGAAAAAUAAAAUAGCAACUUUACUAAAUGGAAUCUUUGAUGCAUUGACAAAGUUAAAGAAACUAGGCUUGCAGGAAAAUGAAUUAGCAACGUUACCAAAUGGAAUCUUUGAUGCAUUGACGAAGCUAGAGACACUUAACUUGGGGAGAAAUAAAAUAUCAACGUUGAAAAACGGAAUUUUUGAUGCAUUGACGAAGCUAGAGAUACUAAUCGUGAGUGGGAAUGAGAUAGCCAUCUUACCGACUGGAUUGUUUGAUGUAUUGACGAAUUUACAAUUCCUAGACUUGGGAAGAAAUAAAAUAUCAACGUUAUCAAAUGGAAUAUUUGAUGAAUUGACGAAGCUAAAGACACUUGGAUUAUAUGAAAACCCUCUGCGUUGCAAAUGUCCAUUAGUCGACAUUAUCCGCACUGCGAAAACAAGACGAUUGCAGUUGAUUGAUAACCCUUCCUGUAAAAAUCCUGUGACUCUAAGAAAAACAUUCCUAAAGGACCUGAAACUUCGAGACGUAGUUUGUGAUUCAGAUUCCAUCACUGGUACUACUGGCGUCGAAACAACAGUUCCCGGUACGUAUUUUACAUCUAUUUAAUCCAAGGUAGUGUAUUUGAUUUAUGGUGGGAGCAUUCCAUUUAGGACAGUUAGGUUUUGUUCUAACUGUUCCUUCAUCAACAUUCCUAUGUUAAAAGAGAAAAUCACAGGUCUCUCAAAUUAAACACCUCAAGAAUUAACGCCCCAUACUAUAUAGACGUUGGCAUGAUACAGAAAGCAAUGUUGUGACCUUGAUCGCCAUUCCUGCGACAAACGUUGAUGCACUUCCCAAACAACUGGUGAAGAAUCACUAUGAGUUAUAAUUAUAAAACUAUCAACAGGGGAUGCUUACUCCUCCUAUGUACCUGAAGCCACCUCUAGUGUGUUUAGGAGUCCGUGUUUGCCCUAUUCUUAAUUUUACAUUCUUUAUUUGAUUUUUGUAGAUUAGUCAUUGUUUGUUAUCUUCAAUUUUCAUGAAAUACAAGCGAAUCAAGUCAACAGCUGAUCUACAAGGGUUACUAAAAAAAAACACUUGUUUCUCCCUAUCACUCUGCGUUGUUGGUUAUCAAAUACUGAGUGUUAAACUCCCGAAAGUCUCUCUUACUCUGAAAUAAAUGCUAGAAAUGGUUUCGUCCUUCUCCCCUAGGAAAUAUAUAUCCACCUUCGUUUAUAAAUUGCAUUAUCUACUUAGAUUUCAUCCCAGCCUCCACUGAUGCAGAUACUGUCUUAACUGCAAUAACCGGAUUCGGCAAGCAUUCAACAUGAUAAAAAAAAAAUUGAACAUUGUAUAAAACACUGAUUUAUCAAGUAGUAAUUUACAGUAUACGUCAAAGACACUUGAUGCAUAAAUUCAUCAGCAAGGAAUGACAUAAUAUCUGUAGCCGCUAACAUCAUUGAAAACAUCGAUUUCAAAUCGCUUUAAAGCAUGAAGAAUCCACCAGGUAAACUCCGUUUGUAGAGAUUGGAUUAUUUUCUUUUAUCUAACCUGCCCUUGACAUCGGAUGUAAGUUUGUUAUAUUAUGUAGUAUUUACAAAUACAUAUAUUAUGAAAUGCCCUACAAAUGCAUAUACAUAUAUAUACUCUUACAUAUACAUUUCUAAUGUUAACAAUUGCCCAAAAUACGCCGCGAGAAGGAUAUAAUUUAAUGCGAUUUCGAAUUUGACUUUUGGACAUUACAGACAUCUAAAAUAUGUCUACAUAAUCAGAUUUGUCUUGUUUGAUGCUUCGCUAAUUAAGGUGUUAUCAGUAGAACGUGAAAACAGUCAUAUCAUUCUCAUACAGCUGACAAUGCGAGUCAACUGAAUAUUUAUGUGAUCAUGAUAAAGUGUAAAGUUGUGAUUUUGACUUGGGGUCAACUUGCACAACAAUUUACUAUUAGUUAUAGUUUCAAAGGUAGCAUAUCCUCAUGUGAUAAGGAAAAAUGAUAAUACCUUUAUAUAUUUCAAAUAAAUUUCCGUAACGUAACAUAUAUUGCAAAACAGUAAAACACUAUUUUUCAUUCAUGUAUUGAAAUACAUCAAACGAACACACUGUAUACAAUGAAAAGUGAUGAAUUAAAAAAGCUCACAAAUCAAUACAACCACGGAGGAUUCAUCGAUGCACUGCUACCUAGAGAUCGUGAGAAACGUGUAUCCCUGUCCUUAUCCCUGGUGGGCAUUUAUAUCCAUAUAUUCAACUCUGGUGUGUAUUUAUAUUCCAUUUGUCAAUCCUGGUGAGUACAACUAUUUCUUUCUCUAUAGAAUAAGCUACUAUAGAACUAAACGUCCAUAAACUACACCACUAUGUACAAGUUACACGUUUACCUUUUGCUUGGUAUCUACAAGAUUUAAUUUUACUCGGUAUGUGUAUGCCAUACAUUUACUUUGUAUAGAUCUACAUGGUUUAUGUUUACUUGGUAAGUAUAGGGUAUAAGUGUUCUUGGUAUGUAUACGUCAUGUGUUUACACCGUAUACACAAGUUACACGUUAUCGUUUUUCUUGGUAUCUACAAUGUUUAAUUUUACUCGGUAUGUAUAUACAUGUAUCAUACAUUUACUGUGUAUCUACAUGGUAUGUGUUUACUUGGUAAGUACAAGGUAUAAGUGUUCUUGGUAUGUAUAAGUUGGGGGGAUGAGGGAUGGAAUAAAGAAUUGCAUUGCUUGCAUGUUUAUUGUACUUAUUGCAAUGACGGCACUAAUCACAUACAUGGGAUAUCGUAAGUUUUCAAUAUUUAUUUUAUUAUUUAUUUCUAUUAUCGUAUUUGAACAUUUCAGGAGAUCAGAAAAGGAGAUAUGUAAACAACUGUUGGUUCAACAAUGGCGCGAUCUGCUGUGAUCUUUUGUUUUUGGAGCGGGUCAGAUACUGACGGACAGAUUUUCAGACAACUACAUAGUCCCUUGGGGAUCCGGGUUAGAAUAUGUCCUCAGUACCCCCUUGCUUGUCGUAAGAGACGACUAAAUCUGGCGGUUCUUCGGAUGAGACCGUAAAAAUCGAGGUCCCGUGUCACAGCAGCUGUAGCACGAUAAAGAUCCCUCCCUGCUCAAUGGUCAUAAGCGCCGAGGAUAGGCAUAAAUUUUGCAGCCCUUCACCGGCAGUGGGGACGUCUCCAUAUGAGUGAAAUAUUCUGGAGAGGGACGUUAAACAAUAUUCAACCAAUCAUAUAAUUUUUCUGUUGAAUUCAAUUUUGUCAUUUUCUGUAGAUACAAAUUUCUCACAAUGCCUCUUUGUCACUAUGGAGCUUUUACAUUUUACCGAAAUAUCGUUGAAAUUUUUAUUUCAGAUUAAAAUUCAGACACACAGAUGGGUUUUGAACAUUACAUUCUUCAUAGAAAUCAAGCCGCUGGCGUUGAUGACAUUUGUUGAAAAAAAUAAACAGAUGUUCUAUAUGCAAAAGUAUACCAUCGUAACCUGUUUGCAACAUAUGGAACCACUUCCUCUGACAGUCAAAUUCUGCUGGUUACACCGUUCCCGGGAAUAUUUCAAGAACGAUAUGUUGAGAAGUGUUUACAAAUGAUGAAUACUGGAUAGUACGAGGUAA